Molecule: ribosomal RNA, 487 nt
Filed under: uncultured beta proteobacterium
Lineage: Bacteria; Pseudomonadati; Pseudomonadota; Betaproteobacteria
Description: bacterial SSU rRNA
Rfam family: Bacterial small subunit ribosomal RNA
Source: RNAcentral
AUUGAACGCUGGCGGCAUGCCUUACACAUGCAAGUCGAACGGCAGCACGGGUGCUUGCACCUGGUGGCGAGUGGCGAACGGGUGAGUAAUAUAUCGGAACGUACCUUAUUGUGGGGGAUAACGCAGCGAAAGCUGUGCUAAUACCGCAUAAUCCCUUAGGGGGAAAGCGGGGGACCGUAAGGCCUCGCGCAAUUAGAGCGGCCGAUACCUGAUUAGCUAGUUGGUGAGGUAAAGGCUCACCAAGGCAACGAUCAGUAGCUGGUCUGAGAGGACGAUCAGCCACACUGGGACUGAGACACGGCCCAGACUCCUACGGGAGGCAGCAGUGGGGAAUUUUGGACAAUGGGGGCAACCCUGAUCCAGCAAUGCCGCGUGAGUGAAGAAGGCCUUCGGGUUGUAAAGCUCUUUUGUCAGGGAAGAAACAGCAGCUCUAACACAGUCUGCGAAUGACGGUACCUGAAGAAUAAGCACCGGCUAACUACGUGCC